UUAAGUUCAGCGGGUUUUCCUACCUGAUUUGAGACCAAGUGUUCAGGGAAAGUCGACUGGUGUCAACCUUCUCUGGGUAAUGGUUGAGUUACAGACUCCGGUACAACCGACAGUUCGUGAGAACAAACGUACGUGUGAGUUGCCCCAUUCAUGCGUAUGCCCGAGAACUGGUGGUUCAAGGAAGCGUAACAUUUGAUUUC
RNAcentral lists this unclassified non-coding RNA (200 nucleotides) under Rhizophlyctis sp. RNAcentral's name for it is "partial internal transcribed spacer 2". Lineage: Eukaryota; Fungi; Chytridiomycota; Chytridiomycetes; Rhizophlyctidales; Rhizophlyctidaceae. The record is from RNAcentral.